GAGGCAGUGCAGGAUGCAAACGAAACGUCUCCUUCAUCACAGCAUCCAAAUACCGUAACUUGGGCAAGUGGAAUUCUUCUACGGUGUUGUUCGCUCCAACAACUUCCUGUAAUUCUUGGUAUACCUUCUGCCUUACCUCUUGAUGUUGCAUUAGUCGUGCCAUUGUCCAUUCGAUCAUGGUAGUAGUUGUGUCAGUACCGCCCACGAAAAUGUCCUGUGUAUCAAAAAUAACAUUAUUUUUAACGCUAGGUAGAUGCAUGAUUUUGAUCAGCAGCAGACUUGUUAGACAGCAGCUACAUCAUUUUUUGGGGAAAAGCACGCUUUGCUCUAUCUGAACUUUCUAAUCACCCUUUGUUAAGGUGGUCUUGGUCUUGGACAUUCUGAUGCUUGUAGGUCCGUAUGUUUCCAAGACAGAUUCACGAGGGACUCAAUGUUCCCAAGAAAUGAUACUUUAGUUUUAUCUACCAGUAAGAUCUAGAAACAUACAUUGCAUUGGCUUUAAAAGUAUAAAUAAGAACUGAAAUUAAAGUAGAAGAAAUUUUUUUUAAGAAAAAAAAGAAGAAAAAAUUAAAGUAGUCAUACCAUUAGCAUGGCUUUGAGUUGGUCCAUCGUAAUUGAUGUUGCGGUAUCUUCAUGCUUGUUAAGAUCCAAGAGAAUCUGCAGCAAGUCUUCUCUCACAUCCAUACGUGCCUUUUCUUCAUUCAAACGUUGCUCAAUUGCAGAUUCAAGAAAUUGAUCGAGAGUGACUGCUAAUCGCUUUGAUCGUCUCUCUAUACCUUGCAAGUCAUACCUAGCCAGCACGGGGAAAAGGUCCGAAACAUUAGGUUUUCCUAAUAGCACCAUCAUCUCUGCUGCAUGACACCGAAACUGUGCAACGAAAUUAGUCCAUUUCUCUCCUUGGAUUGUGCCACCCCCCAGCAAAAUUCUCAGGACAGUAUUUAGGCUUGUUACAUAUGCCAAUUCACCAAAGUCAAUAGGGUUGCCAAUUUUAUUAUACACUUCUCUAAUAGCCUUUUUAACCUCCUGUUUUCUCAGUGCAUAAGAAGCAUCAAGGCUAUUGCCUAGCAUUUCGCGCACCAAAACCUUGCGCAUCUUUCUCCAUUGAGGACUGUAAGAGGACCAAGCGAUAUCAUUUCCGCCGUAUGAGAGCACCCGGGCGGAAAUAGGUGGAUCACGAUUAGCAAAUAUGGUAUCCUUGUCACGAGCAAUUUCUUUGGCUAGUGGUGGUGAGCUAACCACCAUGCACAAUUUGUUUCCGAGCCUUAGCUUGUAGAUAGGGCCAUAGACCCCAGCUAGUUCAGUGAACUUCUUGUGGAGGUCAUUACCAAGAAAUGGAAGGUAUCCAACUAAUGGCAAGCCACGAGGACCUGGCGGAAACGGAGCAGCGACUGCCUUCUUU
Molecule: long non-coding RNA, 1399 nt
Filed under: Populus trichocarpa (black cottonwood)
Lineage: Eukaryota; Viridiplantae; Streptophyta; Magnoliopsida; Malpighiales; Salicaceae
Description: long non-coding RNA (PTRI_LNC000118)
Source: RNAcentral